UUAUUUUUUUCAAAAUUAGGCCCUAUGUUCCCACAUUUCUAAGAAUGUUUUCAAAAUUAGGCACUAUGUUCCCACAGUUCCCAUAUUUCUAAGAUUUCUUUUCAAAUUUAGGCCCUGUGUUCCCACAUUUCUUUUUACAUAAAUUUGUAUCAGAUUUUAUCCCCCUUUCUCCCAAUUUG
Long non-coding RNA from Etheostoma spectabile (orangethroat darter), 179 nucleotides. RefSeq lists it as uncharacterized. The transcript is spliced from 3 exons. The record is from RefSeq and is a predicted model, not a curated record. Lineage: Eukaryota; Metazoa; Chordata; Actinopteri; Perciformes; Percidae.